CUGGCUCAGGAUGAACGCUGGCGGCGUGCCUAAUACAUGCAAGUCGAGCGAAUGGAUUAAGAGCUUGCUCUUAUGAAGUUAGCGGCGGACGGGUGAGUAACACGUGGGUAACCUGCCCAUAAGACUGGGAUAACUCCGGGAAACCGGGGCUAAUACCGGAUAACAUUUUGAACCGCAUGGUUCGAAAUUGAAAGGCGGCUUCGGCUGUCACUUAUGGAUGGACCCGCGUCGCAUUAGCUAGUUGGUGAGGUAACGGCUCACCAAGGCAACGAUGCGUAGCCGACCUGAGAGGGUGAUCGGCCACACUGGGACUGAGACACGGCCCAGACUCCUACGGGAGGCAGCAGUAGGGAAUCUUCCGCAAUGGACGAAAGUCUGACGGAGCAACGCCGCGUGAGUGAUGAAGGCUUUCGGGUCGUAAAACUCUGUUGUUAGGGAAGAACAAGUGCUAG
This 452-nucleotide ribosomal RNA is filed under the name Bacillus cereus. RNAcentral describes it as "bacterial SSU rRNA". It matches the Rfam family "Bacterial small subunit ribosomal RNA", at positions 19 to 459 of the family's 1533-position model. Lineage: Bacteria; Bacillati; Bacillota; Bacilli; Caryophanales; Bacillaceae. The record is from RNAcentral.